UUCUCUCCCUUAGGUGGUUUGCCAACUGGGGUUGGUGGCUUGUUUUCUGGGAGUGGCUUCUCUCCCUUGGGUGGUUUGCCAACUGGGGUUGGUGGCUUGUGUUCUGGGAGUGGCUUCUCCCCCUUGGGAGGUUUUUCGAAUGGGGUGGGUUUGUGUCCUGGUGGUGGCUUCUCUCCCUUGGGAGGUUUACCAAUUGGGGUCGGUGGCUUGUGUUCUGGGAGGGGCUUCUCUCCCUGGGGAGGUUUAGUGGGUGGCUUGUGUUCUGGAGGUGGCUUCUCCACCGGAGGCUUAUGCUCUGGUGGUGGCUUCUCGAAGGGGGGAUGCUCAGGGUAAUCACCAAGUGAGGGGGUGGUGAGAACCACCAUGCCAAGCAACAACACUAGCAAGUAUGUAGUAGACAUCUUUGGGUUUGGACUCAGACAGUGCAAAACUACGAGAAAUCGCUAGCCCUUUAUAGCGGCUCGGACCUAAUACUGACAUAAUAUAAAAUAAAUAUUAUAUUUUAUCAAGAGAGAACAGAGUGUAAUUUUAUCAUUAAUACCGAUCGAGGCCAAAGAAAGAAGACCCAUAAUCCAUUUCCCACAAGCAUACACAAUGCAGCUGUAAUUUUAUCAUUUACUUUUAUCCCUUGGACCACUGCAUUUUUGUUGAGAGACACAAUAACACAUUUUUAUCUGUCAUUCAACAUUUACAGUAAAGAGAGGGCACAAAACGCAAUUAGAUAAAUUAUGUUUUGCCUGCUAAAAAGAGGCAAAUAACUUUAUUUGCAACAUAAUUAUUUUGGUUUCUAGUGACCCCGGGGCCUUUCGGUUGGUUUGGGAUCGGAAAAUGAACAUCAUAGGGGGGGUUGUGCCCUUAUGGGCAUAUAUAUCUGAUAGCUUCAACUGGCCUUGUUCCUAGAAAGAAAUUGCCAAAGAUAUAAACUUAUUCCAGGCUGAAAGUAGAUGAGAGUCAUAAUGAACAUCAACCUUUGUUCAGUUUGAUUCAAUGCCCCCAUAGUGUUCAUUUCACAGAUCUGAAUGAUUAUAUCCGUUGAAUACAUAAAUUAAUGAAGACAAAUAUGAAACCCAAGAUACAUCUCUGCAUAACAACCCCAACCCUGGUUGCUAUGUUUCCCUUCUUCUAUUCACAUGAGGAUACUGGUUAUAAUUGUCAAACUUGCAACAAGCCCUUUGACACCUAACGUCAAUGGACGAAUUAAAAGUCUCCUUCAAACGUCUAUUUCACAGCAUGAAGCUUAUAAAGGAUGCUGACAACCUUCAGAGUUAGCGACAAAAGAUAAUUAUCAAGGAGAGAUAGUUCCAUGAGAAUUCCAAGGAGUCUGAAUCAAAGACAAAUUGCUCACUCAAGGGUUCUUAUUUUCUUUUAGGUACAAAUCUCUUGAGUGUUGUUAAAGAAACACGUCACUGUCAUUUUGAUUUGCAUUUAACAUUUCACUUUUGUUCUGGAAGGUUUGUUCCGGAAACAUAUCAAAUGAGCAUCAUUUUCUUCUUCGGUGACACAUGGUCGCGAGUACGUGGGUCCAUUUUCAUGCCACUUAGUUGAAAAGUUGGAAAGAAAAAACAUGCCAACAAGAAGAUAGUGAGAGAAGGGGCACUUCAAGCCUUUAACAUGAACAAACAGUAAAUAAAAGAUGUUUCUCCACUCAUAAAAGUGUGUUAGAUAGCAAUAUAACGAAUCACAUCCAAAAUCUUUACUAGGCUCAAACAUAAAGAAGACUCAUUUUUAAGAAAAGAUAAAAAUGGCAUUGUCUGAUAGUAUCCAAUACACGAGAUGGCACUUAAUUUGUACAAGAUCUGUCAAUGCUGACGCACAUUUUCUGAUUAAAAAAAAACUGAUCAGUCAAAAGCAAUGAAGAGAAGUGAUGACAAUGAAUGAUGCUUCCAAUAUUUUCACCCCUUAUAGUGUUCUUCAUGAUUCAGAUAUAUAAUUGGAAAUAGAACAACCCUAUGCCAUACAUUCGUCUAAGUAUGGUGUCUAAUUUUUUGUGUCAGCGGUUGCGAAUGGAGCGUGCAAAAGUCCAAAUUGGCGUCUCUCCAUUUCCACAUAGGAAGGUGACCUUUAUUGACAAAUACCCAAUAUUUGUAGACAUUCCUUAAAUAUCAUAACUUCUUGUUGAUUUGAAAAUCAUUUUUCAACUACCAUGUUUUAAUAAAUAUUUUUUAAAAUGUAUUUUUAUCAAAGUCCACCAUGAUGGAUAAUAUUCACCAUGCAAUAAUUAAUAAAGUACAAACUAAGCGAAAUGAAAAGCAUUUUCUUUGCUUUGAGUUGAUUUUGGUUGCAUUGAGUUGAUUUUGGUUUCAUGGUUUUUUCAACUCUUAUUUUGAUUGGAAGAUGUCAAGAAAAGAAAACAUAAAGAAAAAUUAAAAGGGAAAAAAGAAGAAAAAUAAAAAAAAAUAGAUUUAAAAGUUAAUAAAUUAUUUUUUAUAUUUAUUUUAAUUCAUUUCACUUAUUUUUCUUUUACUAUAUAAAAUUUAAAUAAUUUAAAUUUUAUAAUUAAUUUAAUUACAUUUCAUUUUCUUCUAUAUUUAAAUAUUGGAAAAAUAUUUUACUUAAUAUUUUUUUCUUUAAUUUCUUUGGCAUUUUGGGAACCAAACUUAGCCUUUAAAAUAAAAAACAAAAAAAAAAUGAAAAUAAGGAGGGAAAAGUGAGAAAAGAUAAAAACAAUAUGUAAAGGAUUUGAAAAGUAUUAGUUUGUAAUUACUAUUUGGAUUUCAAUAGUAUUUUAUUUGUCUUUCUAUAUUUCAUGUAAGAGAGAAUUUAAGAUAUUCCCCAAGGCAAAGCAUUAGUUACCUGCAAUCAGUGGUGAUAAGGCUCCAAGCCAAUUUUGGGCCCCAUAUCUUAAGACAGUACAAUUUCCAUUUCAACAUUUCUGAUUUCUCAGAUGUUUCACAUACCACAGAAGAACAUUGUUUGUGAAAAUAUGCAUUUAUGUUGGAUUUUGUAUGCUGUGGGGACUGGGGCAAGGAUCAUAUGGAAGAGUGGUUGACUUUUUCUGUACUUUAACGGUUGAAAUAGGAUAAGCACGGGCAUUUGUGAGGCUUAAUUGAUUUUGAAGCCUGAAAUUGCGUUUCUGUCAUUUUGUCAAAAAAAUGGCAGAUUCCAUACUCAUAUGUUUGGCCUGUGGCCAUGUACAGAUGCCAUUUAGUGACCAGUUUGUAACUGUCAAUCGUUGCGUUUUGACUCUGCCUCAACAACAUCUGCCAUUGACGGGUUUUCAUACUUGCAAAUCAAAUAGUCUUUCGUCCCAUCAGGAAUUUCGGUUUAAAUAUUAUUAAGCAUACGUUUGGCUGACAAUCAUUAUCCAGUUCAUGAUUUGGUUUCUUACCCUUAAUCAAUGGUUUCUAAGUGAAUAUAUGUAGAAGGAAAUCCGAAGUGUAGACAGUAGUAUCGAUAACUCUCAAUAUUCUCUAUAUAAUAGAAUAAACAGCGUCAUAGUGAUCGUCGCCUACAAGCAAGGUACAAAUACCAAAACGAGUGACUCACAUAGACAUCUCCCAACAAGAUGUAGUAGUGACUGACACAUGGACACAAUUAACUCGUAGAAAAGGAUAAGACCAUUGCACAGCAGCUCUUAUUUUACAUACUACUUAUGCUAACCAAAGUCAAUUAGUUGGGAUGGGUGGGAGAUGGAGGUUUGUGCGGUGGCUUGUGGGGCGGAGUUGAUGGCUUCUUUCCAGGAGCUUCUGGCUUUUUCAUCGGAGCUGAAGGAGGCUCAAUCUUAUGAGGCGGCUUGUAUGAGUCUUCUUUACUCUCGACAGGAGGGUGGCCAGGGUUGUGAUCAUAAUGUGGUGGCUUCUCUCCCUUAGGUGGCUUGCCAACUGGGGUUGGUGGCUUGUGUUCAGGAAGUGGUUUCUCUCCCAUGGGAGGUUUAGCAAUUGGGGUUGGUGGCUUGUGUUCUGGGAGUGGCUUCUCUCCCUUGGGAGGUUUAGUAGGUGACUUGUGUUCUGGAGGUGGCUUCUCCACCGGAGGCUUGUGCUCCGGUGGUGGCUUCUUGGUUGGAGGGGGCUUGGGGUAAUCAGCAAGAGAUGGGGUGGUGAGAACCACCAGUCCAAGGAACAACACUAGCAAGUAUGUGGGAGACAUUUUUGAGUUUGGGCUGAUCAGAUGAUGCAAAACUAAAGCAUUACGUGACCUUUUAUAGCAUGUAGCUCCCAAUACCCACUAAGUAUUGUGGGGUCCAUUUGUGCCCUACGGGGUUGAAAACUUAGACAAUUGGGCAAGGACCCACCUGACUAUGGAGGACUAGUGAGGUGUGAUCAUAGCUUUAGGAUUUUUCUUCCUCUGCAGCCGUCGUGCCGUUGGCAUGAUUUUCUUAAUCUUAAAUAAAGGCAUAGUUAUAGAGUUGUUUAAUCUCUAAAUGGGAUUUUAUAUAUAUCUUCAGAUAGCCAUUAAUAUAUUUGAUGAAGAAAGAAAGACAAGUGCAUACAACAUGUAUACGACUAGCUUUCAUGGAGUUCAUUUAUGAUCAGUUUUCCUGUACAUGUAAACCAGGAUCAUAUAUAUGUUUCUGUUCCACAACUAUUUUGGAAUCUUGUUUAUCAGUUUUUAUCAUUAUAAUGUCACAUAGGCUGCCAACUUGGGCGCUAAAAGAACCAGUUGGGCUAGUUCGUUUCAGAAUUUCAAUGUGGAUUCAGGAAUUGUUUUGUAAGAUAUGCGAAAUAGUAGAGGGAUGAAUAGUGUUUCAUUAAUAAAAGUGUCCUGUAAAUUAGAAGGUGUCAUAGAAACUAUAAUCAAUAAAUAACUUUUUUUCCCCACGGGUGGUGUUUCUUGUGGGGAUCAGUGACUGGUUUAGGUUCACCCAAAAUGAGUUCAGACUAAAAUUGGUUUGAGUCAAUGCCGUGUCUCUUUUUUCCAGAAAUCAACUAUUUUAUGCAUUGAAUAAAUCAUACAAAGAAAAUAUGAACGCCCGCAAAACCUAAACCCUGGUUGCUAACUUUCUAUGUUUCAGUUCUAUUCACGCAAGAAUAUUAGUUUAAGUUUGGGAAAAAUGGCAACUUACCUAGUGAUUACUUGGUUUUGGUUUGCGACUAUUUACGCAACCAACCAUGAGUUUGACUUUAACGUCAUGGGUUGAAGCCUCCUACAGGAAGGGAGAAAGCUCCACAGCUAGCUCCAAAAGAGAAUUAUCACAUUGAUAGCUCCAGAGAUUCCCAAGGGGACUGAAUCAAAGACAAGUUCCUCACUUUUUCUUCUUUUGAGGCCAAAUAUGAACCAAGGAUCACACAACCUCAUUCAACUUCAUAAGUUUGAUUUCAUGCAGUUGAACACUGGGUGAAGGCCAUGACAAGAAUUGAUUCAAAAAUUCUAUCACUCUUUUAAGUAAUGGAAGAUUAUUAUCUCUGAUUGGCAUCACAACAGCACAUGCUCCUAGAUCUUUCUAGACACUCCAUGCAAUGAAAGCACAAUGGAUCUUGUAACGAUAGAAACUAAGCCAUGCUACAGUACUAGAUGAUGAGGUAAAACUAGUAGACACGGGUGGCAGCCUAUAUGGGAGGGACACAAGUCUAAUUGAUUUGCAUUUCAGCAUUAUAGAUAGGUAUGUUUUGGAAGAUUUGUUCUGGAAAUACCGCACCAAGUAGGAUUCUUUUUCUCUUUAGUGGGUCCACUUGCAUGCCAAUUAACGAGUUGAAAAGUAUGAGCACCUACCUCGUGCUCGUGGAACCGAAGGUCAGUGAAGUGGGGCUCCUUUUGGCCUCGUGUAAACUUGAUUCAGAAGUGAAGUUAAUAGUCUUCCAUUCAGAUGGAUACAUGGGAAUUUUUCUCUUUUAUUUAUUUAUUUAUUUUUUUUUUGUGUGUGUAUGUCAAAGGAUAAUGAAUGAAGCGCGUUAGCUUGUUUUCUGACUGGAACCGCAGAUGUCCAAAUUGGAGUUCCUUCAUUUCUUACUUAGGAUUGUUACAUGUAUAAACAAGGUAUAAGAAAUAUGCCAACGUGUCUUGAGGAGUUAUUGAUUAGAAAUAACAAGUCACCCGACUGUAGAGUUCCAAGAUUUGAAUCUUCAGACCCUAUAGCAGCCUCUGGGGUACGUGGCAUCCUAUAGCAUAUUAAUGAAGGCUUUUUCGAUUUAGACUUCACAAUACCAAUUAAUAUGUAUGCACAAAAUGGAGAUGACCCCAAAAAAAACAGAAUCGCCAUAGUUUAUGAGGUUAAGGUGAUUCUCCACUUAAUAUCUACAUUAGCUAAUUAUGUAAAUCAAAUGAACUUCUAUUUUUCCUUUUUUUUUUUGGUUUAUGUCAAAUAGUAGCCCAUAAUUAACCCAACCAUUAGCCUGUUUGAAUUGAUUUCACAUGCACAAUGUUGUAGUAGUUCAUAUUUUGAAUUUUAUUUUUACAAAGGUAGUUAAGGAAAAUGAAGUAUAAUAAUUAUAAAAGCAGACUAUAUACACUACAAUAAUUGUUAGAAUGGUAUCUCAAAUUCUAAUUUAAAAUAUUAUUUUUUGUAAAAGAAAUAUUAUAUAGAAUAUUUCCUAAUUUUAUAAAUGAUUAUAAUUAGAUCUUUAUAAAAUAAGGAAAGUUGGUAAGAAUAUCUUUAUAAAUAUUUUAGGUCAUGAGAGAAAGAAAUGGGAUAAAAAUGUGAUGAAGAGGUGAAAUAAGAGAGUUGAUUAGGAUAUAGAUGUGAAGAAGAAAGGGAUUCAAUAUAUAUAUAUCUUUCAAUUACCACAUUAAAACCCUGUGAACCUUUUAUAUGGUUUACUUUAUUUUUAUAUUCCUCCUUUAAUAUAUUUACAUUAAUGCUUCCAUUGGCACAACAAUAACGAAUUACAAAUACAAGCAACAAGUCCCAUGUUUUAUUACCAAAAGCAGGUAAAAUCCACCUAAUAUAUUACAAUAUAUUCAUCCAAUAUUUUAGACCAAUUCUUCACCAUAAAUAUCAUAAUGUGGCUUUUGUUCUUUCUUAAAUUUAAAUUGAAUUGUCUUAUAUCAAUUUGUUUGUGAUUUUUUCAUUAACUUCACUUUCAUUUGGUUAUCUUUGGUUUUUGAAAAGUAUUAAGGAAUUAAUUAACAAAAUAAUGUUAAGAAAAAUAAUUUUCUCUCUUUUGAUUUUGAUUUUGUAGUAGAAAAAUAUAAUUAAAAUUAUUUAAAAAGUAUGUAAUUUUAAAUUAUUUAAUAUUUAGAUAAAAAAAAUAAGUCUAAUGAGUUUAAAAUAACAUAUAAAAAUAAUUUAUUUAUUUUAAAUUUAUUUUUUAUUUUCCAUUAUGUUCUCUUUCUCUUUUACUUUUUCAUAUUUUUUCUUACGAAGAAUCAAACACAACCUCAUAUUAUAUGUCAAGUGUUUGUCUAUAUUUGAGCAAUGUUAGAUACGGCCAUGGAUUCAUCAAACUAAACUGAUUUUAAUAGAUACUUCACAAAUUGAUUUAUACACUAAAUCAUUGGAUAGCAAUGAUGCAUUGGAAUUAAACGUAGGAUGAAGCUCGAAGAACACUGUUUGUGUAACAACAUAUUUAUGAAAUUAUGCAAAGGAUGAGCUUCGGGGUAGUAGUACAAGGUCAUUAAUGGAGAGCCGUGUUAAACCUUGAUUGUGAUUGGAUUCCGUUAUCAGCAACAGCAACCUUGUUUGUAACCUUGAAAGUCAUUCUGUCCACAUCGAAACUCCAAUUUGACGUUUGUAAUUACCAUUCCUGGAGUGUUCCUUGAUUGAAAUUUAAAUAAUAAUUGCGGCCCACAAGGAAUAUUUUCGAUUCUGUGGGAAUUUGACAAGGUUUGUUAGAGAAGACUGGUGACAUGUUGACUUCAAUGGUUCAAAUAGGAGACGUAUGUGGAUUUGGGGGGUUUAAUUGAAACUGAGUCCCUAUGGCUUUUUAAUAUUUGCAUUGAGCAGUCUCCAUGUGACUUCCUAAUUCCCACCAACCCUCCUGUCCAUGCUGUGAAACUAAAUUGUAAUUUAUCAGCCUUUGUCAAUGGUUUCUAAAUUAAAGAUAUAGACCAUGCAUGUACUUUAAUAAAAGCAAAUCUAAAGUGUAGAUAGCAGCAAUGGUGACACCCAAUAUUCUCCAUAAAAUAGAAUUAGAAUAAGCAGUGUUACAUUGUUCAUGAUCACCUACAAGCAUACAAGAACUUCCAUGAAUAACUCAUAGCAAUUGCCAACAGGGCGUCGUAGAGACUCAUACAUAGAACACUAUCCACCCAGAGGAAAGGACAAGACCAGUGCGCUGCAGCUCUUAUUUUUCACAUGUAUACCACCACUCGUAAUAACCAAAUUCACUCAGUUGGGAUAGGUGGGAGAUGGUGGUUUGUGGGGUGGCUUGUGGGGAGGAGUUGGAGGAGGCUUUAUUUUCUGAGGCGGCUUGUAUGAGUGUGCAGGAGGAUGCCCGGGAGUGUGACCAUAAUGUGGUGGCUUCUCUCCCGUAGGUGGUUUGCCAAAUGGGCUUGGUGGCUUCUCUCCCUUAGGAGGUUUACCAAUUGGGGUUGGUGGCUUGUGUUCUGGGAGUGGUUUCUCUCCCUUGGUAGGUUUGCCAAUUGGGGUUGGCGGCUUAUGUUCUGGGAGUGGCUUCUCUCCCUUGGGAGGUUUGCUAAUUGGGGUUGGCGGCUUAUGUUCUGGGGGCGGCUUCUCUCCCUUGGGAGGUUUGCCAAUUGGAGUUGGCGGCUUAUGUUCUGGGAGUGGCUUUUCUCCCUUGGGAGGCUUGCCAAUUGGGGUUGGCGGCUUAUGUUCUGGGGGUGGCUUCUCUCCUUUAGGAGGUUUGCCAAUUGGAGUCGGCGGCUUAUGUUCUGGAAGUGGCUUUUUUCCCUUGGGAGGUUUGCCAAUUGGGGUUGGCGGCUUAUGUUCUGGGGGUGGCUUCUCUCCCUUGGGAGGUUUGCCAAUUGGAGUCGGCGGCUUAUGUUCUGGGAGUGGCUUCUCUCCCUUGGGAGGUUUUGUUGGUGGCUUGUGUUCUGGAGAUGGCUUCUCCCCUGGAGGCUUGUGCUCCGGAGGUGGCUUCUGAAAUGGCGGGGGCUUGGGGUAAUGAGCAAGAGAUGGAGUACUGGUGAGAACCACCAUUCCAAGCAACAAUACUAGCAAGCAUGUGGGAGAC
Molecule: long non-coding RNA, 9008 nt
Filed under: Vitis vinifera (wine grape)
Lineage: Eukaryota; Viridiplantae; Streptophyta; Magnoliopsida; Vitales; Vitaceae
Description: long non-coding RNA (VVIN_LNC001392)
Source: RNAcentral